CCUCAUCUCUCCAGGGAUGGGGCUGAGCCAGGUGAUAUCAUAAUGGGCAGUGCCCAUCCUAGAGGGGAAAGCAGGGUGGGGUAGGAGCAGGAAGGUUGUAGGGGAGAGAAGCUGAGAGAUCCUCCAUAGGAGGGGUCACAGCAGCUAGCGGCACCUGCCGGGGUUGGAGGUGUGGGCUAUCUGGGAGGCGGUGGAGGUCACUGAUGUCUUACAGGAGUCCUUGGUAGGUAAAGCCCACCACGAUAUCCCCUAGACCUCACUAUGUUCCUCUUCUCCCGUAAGACCAAGACCCCCAUCAGCACCUACAGUGACUCCUACAGGGCUCCAACCUCUAUCAAGGAGGUCUAUAAAGACCCACCUCUGUGGGCCUGGGAAGCCAACAAGUUUGUGACCCCGGGCCUGACUCAGACUAUGCAGCGCCACGUGGAUCCUGAAGCCCUGCAGAAGAUGGUCAAAUGUGCUGUGCAGGACUACAGCUAUAAGAGUUCCAUAGCAGGCCACCCCUACUUUCCUGAGAAAUACUGGCUCUGUCAAGAGGAAGUAGACAAAUGCAACCCAUACUACCUAUGUGGUGACCGGUAUAACACAUGGAGGAUGGGACCUUACAACUGUACCAGCUGGAACAAAUAUACCACAUGCCUUCCCCAGCUACCUAAGGAGGCUGGAAUGGAGACAGCUGUUCGAGGAAUGCCCUUGCAGUGCCCUCCUAAGCCGGAACGACUCAAUGCCUACGAGCGUGAGGUGGUGGUGAAUAUGUUGAACUCGCUGUCACGGAACCAGCGGCUGCCGCAGAUCACUCGCCGAUGCGGGUGCGUGGACCCGCUGCCGGGCCGCCUGCCCUUCCAGGGUUAUGAAAGCUCUUGCUCAGGCCGCCACUACUGUCUACGCGGGAUGGACUACUACGUGACCAGAGCACCCUGCACGGAACGCCGCCACCGGCCUUUGUGCUCAGAGCAGCCGACUGUAAGUCUGGCGGAAACACAUUGCAAAUGCGCUUAGCGCAGCGAGGACCGCGGAGACAGUUGUCCGCUGCGAUGCACUGAUUGGAAGAUACCACCAGGGGGCGCUAGUACCAUGGGGACGUCAAAGCUGGCAAGGGAAUGGAGAACCCCAUGAGAGGGCACGGAGGCUGGCAUGGAAGGGUCCACAGAUGGGACACAAGUCACUUCAAGAAGACCGGUGGCCCCCAAAGAAACAACUAUGUCAUCCACCCUGAGUUUGUGUCUGAAACCUAUCCUGAUUGCCACUGCUGGUAGAGCCCAGGCUGGUGGGGACAAGGGGGCUGAGCAGUAAAUAAACUCUUCACCCCAAA
This is an RNA transcript of Felis catus (domestic cat), 1312 nucleotides long. It is a transcript of the gene named chromosome D4 C9orf24 homolog, with no coding region annotated. The record is from RefSeq and is a predicted model, not a curated record. Lineage: Eukaryota; Metazoa; Chordata; Mammalia; Carnivora; Felidae. The transcript has 7 exons.